RNAcentral lists this ribosomal RNA (826 nucleotides) under uncultured crenarchaeote. RNAcentral's name for it is "bacterial SSU rRNA". It matches the Rfam family "Archaeal small subunit ribosomal RNA", at positions 21 to 853 of the family's 1478-position model. Lineage: Archaea; Thermoproteati; Thermoproteota. The record is from RNAcentral.
ACCUGACUGCUAUCGGAUUGAUACUAAGCCAUGCGAGUCAUUGUAGCAAUACAAGGCAGACGGCUCAGUAACGCGUAGUCAACCUACCCUAUGGACGGGGAUAACCUCGGGAAACUGAGAAUAAUACCCGAUAGAACACUAUACCUGGAAUGGUUUGUGUUCCAAAUAAUUUAUUGCCGUAGGAUGGGACUGCGGCCUAUCAGUUUGUUGGUGAGGUAAUGGCCCACCAAGACUAUUACAGGUACGGGCUCUGAGAGGAGUGGCCCGGAGAUGGGUACUGAGACACGGACCCAGGCCCUAUGGGGCGCAGCAGGCGAGAAAACUUUGCAAUGUGCGAAAGCACGACAAGGUUAAUCCGAGUGGUUUCUGCUAAAGGAACCUUUUGACAGUCCUAGAAACACUGUUGAAUAAGGGGUGGGCAAGUUCUGGUGUCAGCCGCCGCGGUAAAACCAGCACCUCAAGUGGUCAGGAUGAUUAUUGGGCCUAAAGCAUCCGUAGCCGGCUCUGUAAGUUUUCGGUUAAAUCUGUACGCUCAACGUACAGGCUGCUGGGAAUACUGCAGAGCUAGGGAGUGGGAGAGGUAGACGGUACUCGGGAGGAAGUGGUAAAAUGCCUUGAUCUCUCGAUGACCACCUGUGGCGAAGGCGGUCUACCAGAACACGUCCGACGGUGAGGGAUGAAAGCUGGGGGAGCAAACCGGAUUAGAUACCCGGGUAGUCCCAGCUGUAAACUAUGUAAACUCAGUGAUGCACUGGCUUAUGGCCAGUGCAGUGUUGCAGGGAAGCCGUUAAGUUUACCGCCUGGGAAGUACGUACGCAAGUAUGAA